CAACUCGCCUGCAUGAAGUCGGAAUUGCUAGUAAUCGUAGGUCAGCAUACUACGGUGAAUACGUUCCCGGGCCUUGUACACACCGCCCGUCAAACCAUGAGAGUUGGCAACACCCGAAGUCGGUAGUCUAACCGCAAGGAGGACGCCGCCGAAGGUGGGGGUUGAUGAUUAGGGUUAAGUCGUAACAAGGUACC
RNAcentral lists this ribosomal RNA (194 nucleotides) under uncultured bacterium. Its description in RNAcentral is "partial 16S ribosomal RNA". It matches the Rfam family "Bacterial small subunit ribosomal RNA", at positions 1308 to 1500 of the family's 1533-position model. The record is from RNAcentral.